UGGGGAAUAUUGCGCAAUGGACGCAAGUCUGACGCAGCGACGCCGCGUGAGGGAAGAAGGCCUUCGGGUCGUAAACCUCUGUCAGGAGGGAAGAAAGCGCACAGUGCUAAUCAGCUGUGUGUUGACGGUACCUCCAAAGGAAGCGCCGGCUAACUCCGUGCCAGCAGCCGCGGUAAUACGGAGGGCGCAAGCGUUAAUCGGAAUCACUGGGCGUAAAGCGCGCGUAGGCUGUGAUGUAAGUCAGAGGUGAAAGCCCGCAGCUCAACUGCGGAAUUGCCUUUGAAACUGCGUUACUUGAAUCCAGGAGAGGGUGGCGGAAUUCCGGGUGUAGGAGUGAAAUCCGUAGAUAUCCGGAGGAACACCAGCGGCGAAGGCGGCCACCUGGCCUGGUAUUGACGCUGAGGUGCGAAAGCGUGGGGAGCAAACAGG
RNAcentral lists this ribosomal RNA (429 nucleotides) under uncultured bacterium. Its description in RNAcentral is "bacterial SSU rRNA". It matches the Rfam family "Bacterial small subunit ribosomal RNA", at positions 355 to 776 of the family's 1533-position model. The record is from RNAcentral.